UCCCAGGUGGCUUAGAUGGUAAAGAAUCUGCCUGUAAUACAGGGGGACCCAGGUUCAAUCCCUGGGUAGGGAA
RNAcentral lists this transfer RNA (73 nucleotides) under Bos taurus (domestic cattle). It matches the Rfam family "tRNA". From Rfam's summary of the family: Transfer RNA (tRNA) molecules are approximately 80 nucleotides in length. Their secondary structure includes four short double-helical elements and three loops (D, anti-codon, and T loops). RNAcentral also lists the same sequence under 5 other names. Lineage: Eukaryota; Metazoa; Chordata; Mammalia; Artiodactyla; Bovidae. The record is from Rfam by way of RNAcentral.